Molecule: ribosomal RNA, 498 nt
Filed under: uncultured bacterium
Lineage: Bacteria
Description: partial 16S ribosomal RNA
Rfam family: Bacterial small subunit ribosomal RNA
Source: RNAcentral
AUUGAACGCUGGCGGCAUGCCUUACACAUGCAAGUCGAACGGUAACAGGUCUUCGGAUGCUGACGAGUGGCGAACGGGUGAGUAAUACAUCGGAACGUGCCCGAUCGUGGGGGAUAACGAAGCGAAAGCUUUGCUAAUACCGCAUAAGAUCUACGGAUGAAAGCAGGGGACCGCAAGGCCUUGCGCGAACGGAGCGGCCGACGGCAGAUUAGGUAGUUGGUGGGAUAAAAGCUUACCAAGCCGACGAUCUGUAGCUGGUCUGAGAGGACGACCAGCCACACUGGGACUGAGACACGGCCCAGACUCCUACGGGAGGCAGCAGUGGGGAAUUUUGGACAAUGGGCGAAAGCCUGAUCCAGCCAUGCCGCGUGCAGGAUGAAGGCCUUCGGGUUGUAAACUGCUUUUGUACGGAACGAAAAGACUCUUUCUAAUAAAGAGGGUCCAUGACGGUACCGUAAGAAUAAGCACCGGCUAACUACGUGCCAGCCGCCGCCGUAA